Rhopalosiphum padi (bird cherry-oat aphid) is the source of this 1420-nucleotide RNA transcript. It is a transcript of the gene named protein cornichon-like, with no coding region annotated. The transcript has 6 exons. Lineage: Eukaryota; Metazoa; Arthropoda; Insecta; Hemiptera; Aphididae. The record is from RefSeq and is a predicted model, not a curated record.
AUAUAUCCAAAUGCAAUCGAUUUCACCAACGGCGUGUUUCGUUGUUAUUAAUCAUAAUCAUAAUAUACAUAAAUCAUAAGACUCAAUUGUUAACGAAUCAUUCUACCGGUGGUUUAGCUGUAAAACCUUCAACGCUCGUAGUUUGUUUAGUUGAUCUGUUUCUUUGCUUCAGCCGACCUCACGCUUAUCCGACUAUUUAAAUUACCAGGCAUCCAGUUGAUCCUACUACCCAGCUCUCGCCCACUUAACGAACUUACGGACGUUUACGAGAGUCGCACACGUAGCACAAGAAGAACGUCUGCCGACAACCAUGUCUUUUAACUUCCCGGCGUGCACCUACAUCGUGGCCAUGAUAUCUGACGCUUUUCUGUUGUUCUUCUCGGUGUUUCAUGUUAUUGCGUUUGAUGAACUGAAAAAUGACAGCAAGAAUCCUAUUGAUCAAUGUAACAGCUUAAAUCCAUUAGUGAUUCCAGAGUAUAUUUUACAUUUCUUCUCCAAUUUGUUGUUUUUGUUUGGAGGCCAGUGGUUAUCCAUUGCUAUAAAUGUUCCAUUAAUGGCUUAUCAUAUUUCAAAAUAUCGAAAUAGGCCCGCUAUGUCUGGUUUUGGCCUCUAUGAUCCGACGAGUAUUAUGAAUGCUGAUAAAUUAAAUAAAUAUCAACGUGAAGGUUGGAUAAAAUUGACAUUUUAUUUGUUUUCAUUUUUUUACUACUUAUAUGGAAUGAUAAGAGCAUUAAUCACAGUGUAAACCUAUGAUGCUUUGAACAUUCACCUUGUACAACUAUAAUAGUCAAAAGUUAUACUUAAUAAUGGGCAAUUGGUACAAACAUCAAUGGAUUGAAAAAUCCAACAAUUUUUAAUUAUUUCAGUAAAUAUGUAUGUUACUGGCAAUCUGGAAUGUUGGAACUGUCAAUAAAAUAAUUAACAAUUAAGUUAAUUGUAUUAAACAUGAUAAACUUUAUUAUAUUUAAUAGAUUACUAAAAUUGUAAUACUUCAAUAAUAAUUGUAAGAAAGACGAUGUAAUUUUAAUUAACUAAUUAUUUCAUCAUAAUUAAAUUUACUAAGUAUUAUUCAUUUUUUAUAUCAAUAAUAAAUUAUGAUAACAUUUAGAUUCAUUUUAAAAAUUAAAACGCUUAUUUUUUAAAUAAAAACUACAUUUAAUAAAUACACAUAUAAUUACAUUCUUACACUUAAUAAUUAGAAAUAUUGUAUAAGGUAUCAUGAACUUAAGACUCUACUCUACUGUAAAAAUCAAACAAAAAUAUACCUACUAUUAGACUAUGGUCAGCUGACGAAAUAUUUGAACAACUAAUUCAAAUAAAUUGUGAUUUUAAACUAGACCAAAGCUAUUACUUUACUGAUACUAUAAAUUGUUCAACAUGUUCAAAUCAAAUUAUGUCCAAUACAAUUAAUUGAAAUUAA